Molecule: non-coding RNA, 103 nt
Filed under: Palpitomonas bilix
Lineage: Eukaryota
Source: RNAcentral
GAGAGAGAGAGGAGAGAGAUGAAAGGACAAACAGGGUUCGAGUUGUCUGCCGUCGCCCUUUCUCUUUAUUUUUUGUUAAUUUUUCUAUUUGUUUGUUUUACAC